Molecule: ribosomal RNA, 253 nt
Filed under: uncultured bacterium
Lineage: Bacteria
Description: partial 16S ribosomal RNA
Rfam family: Bacterial small subunit ribosomal RNA
Source: RNAcentral
UACGGGGGGGGUAAGCGUUGUUCGGAAUUACUGGGCGUAAAGGGCUCGUAGGCGGCCAACUAAGUCAUACGUGAAAUCCCUCGGCUUAACUGGGGAACUGCGUGUGAUACUGGAUGGCUUGGAUUUGGGAGAGGGAUGCGGAAUUCCAGGUGUAGCGGUGAAAUGCGUAGAUAUCUGGAGGAACACCGGUGGCGAAGGCGGCAUCCUGGACCAAUAUUGACGCUGAGGAGCGAAAGCCAGGGGAGCGAACGGG